Molecule: long non-coding RNA, 689 nt
Organism: Cheilinus undulatus (humphead wrasse)
Lineage: Eukaryota; Metazoa; Chordata; Actinopteri; Labriformes; Labridae
Exons: 4
Source: RefSeq, a predicted model, not a curated record
UAACUGAAUGAAGUUUCUUUUAAACCUUUAAAUUUUUGAAAUAUUACGAGUUGUGCCCCCGCUAAAGACAUUUAUUCCUCCUACUUCGGUUGAUUUAGCCCCCUGCCGGACCAGUAGGUAACUUGUUUAAAGCAUUUCCUGUUGAAAAAGCGGUUCAGUGGCGAAGGAAUUUACGGACAGUCAGAGGACGAGCGGGCAACCAAUCAAACUAAAUCAGAGGAAAACGGUAGAUACGAAAUGGUUAGAGGUCAGGAUCAGGAAAAUACCAUCUGAAUAAACGUCAAAAAGCGCCAGGUAAAAAAAAAAAGGUUGAAAACCCAGGAGGUGGCUGAGCUGUCACAUUUUCCACUGGCUGACCUGCUACUUCAGGGGUGGAAGCUGCAUAAAGGGAGAGAGACCUAAGUGAAGUAAGACGUCUAUGAGACAGGCAGGGAUGUGCGAGGAGUCCACAGGGAGAUGAGGAAUAUUUCACUCCGCCACUGAGGCACCCGGUGGGAAUAGUGGUUGAAACUGUGCCUUUAACUUUUCUUCCUGUUCUGCAUCCCAGCUCGCAUCAGGAGUCUGGUUUGAACAGGAUCAUCAUCAAACCAGACCAGGAUGGAAAGAGGGGGGGUAAGGGGAAGACAGCAUCACUUUAAAGCAAUCAGAGAGGAAUCAAUGAGCAGCUCAACAUAAAAUAAAAGUCUCCC